Molecule: ribosomal RNA, 301 nt
Filed under: uncultured bacterium
Lineage: Bacteria
Description: partial 16S ribosomal RNA
Rfam family: Bacterial small subunit ribosomal RNA
Source: RNAcentral
CAGUAGCCGCGGGAAUACGUAGGGUGCAAGCGUUAAUCGGAAUUACUGGGCGUAAAGCGUGCGCAGGCGGUUGGUUAAGACAGAUGUGAAAUCCCCGGGCUCAACCUGGGAACUGCAUUUGUGACUGGCCAGCUAGAGUAUGGCAGAGGGGGGUGGAAUUCCACGUGUAACAGUGAAAUGCGUAGAGAUGUGGAGGAACACCGAUGGCGAAGGCAGCCCCCUGGGCCAAUACUGGCGCUCAUGCACGAAAGCGUGGGGAGCAAACAGGAUUAGAUACCCCAGUAGUCCCUGUCUCUUAUAC